GAGUUUGAUCCUGGCUCAGAACGAACGCUGACGGCGCGUCUUAAGCAUGCAAGUCGAACGGUAAGAGAGGAGCUUGCUCUUCUCCUAGAGUGGCGGACUGGUGAGUAACGCGUAGGUGACCUACCCUGAAGAUGGGGAUAGCUAGUAGAAAUAUUAGAUAAUACCGAAUAAGCUCAUAGACGUAAACGGAUAUGAGGAAAGGAGCUACGGCUCCGCUUUAGGAUGGGCCUGCGUCCCAUUAGCUAAGUUGGUGAGGUAAAGGCUCACCAAGGCGACGGUGGGUAUCCGGCCUGAGAGGGUGAACGGACACAUUGGGACUGAGAUACGGCCCAAACUCCUACGGGAGGCAGCAGCUAAGAAUCUUCCGCAAUGGACGAAAGUCUGACGGAGCGACGCCGUGUGAAUGAAGAAGGCCGAAAGGUUGUAAAGUUCUUUUGCAGAUGAAGAAUAAGGGCAAGAGGGAAUGCUUGUC
RNAcentral lists this ribosomal RNA (472 nucleotides) under Treponema sp. canine oral taxon 350. Its description in RNAcentral is "bacterial SSU rRNA". It matches the Rfam family "Bacterial small subunit ribosomal RNA", at positions 9 to 473 of the family's 1533-position model. The record is from RNAcentral. Lineage: Bacteria; Pseudomonadati; Spirochaetota; Spirochaetia; Treponematales; Treponemataceae.